GAGUUGAUCUUGGCUCAGAUUGAACGCUGGCGGCAUGCCUUACACAUGCAAGUCGAACGGCAGCAUGAUCUAGCUUGCUAGAUUGAUGGCGAGUGGCGAACGGGUGAGUAAUACAUCGGAACGUGCCCUGUAGUGGGGAUAACUAGUCGAAAGAUUAGCUAAUACUGCAUACGACCUGAGGGUGAAAGUGGGGACCGCAAGGCCUCAUGCUAUAGGAGCGGCCGAUGUCUGAUUAGCUAGUUGGUGGGGUAAAGGCCCACCAAGGCGACGAUCAGUAGCUGGUCUGAGAGGACGAUCAGCCACACUGGGACUGAGACACGGCCCAGACUCCUACGGGAGGCAGCAGUGGGGAAUUUUGGACAAUGGGCGAAAGCCUGAUCCAGCAAUGCCGCGUGUGUGGAGAAGGCCUGG
This 411-nucleotide ribosomal RNA is filed under the name uncultured microorganism. RNAcentral's name for it is "bacterial SSU rRNA". It matches the Rfam family "Bacterial small subunit ribosomal RNA", at positions 9 to 419 of the family's 1533-position model. The record is from RNAcentral.